UCCCUGGUGGCUCAGAUGGUAAAGCAUCUGUCUGCAAUGCUGGAGACCCGGGUUUGAUCCCUGGGUCGGGAA
This 72-nucleotide transfer RNA is filed under the name Bos taurus (domestic cattle). It matches the Rfam family "tRNA". Rfam says of the family: Transfer RNA (tRNA) molecules are approximately 80 nucleotides in length. Their secondary structure includes four short double-helical elements and three loops (D, anti-codon, and T loops). RNAcentral also lists the same sequence under 5 other names. The record is from Rfam by way of RNAcentral. Lineage: Eukaryota; Metazoa; Chordata; Mammalia; Artiodactyla; Bovidae.